CCUACGGGUGGCAGCAGUGGGGAAUAUUGGGCAAUGGGCGCAAGCCUGACCCAGCAACGCCGCGUGAAGGAAGAAGGCUCUCGGGUUGUAAACUUCUUUUCUCAGGGACGCAGCAAGUGACGGUACCUGAGGAAUAAGCCACGGCUAACUACGUGCCAGCAGCCGCGGUAAUACGGCGGUGGCAAGCGUUAUCCGGAUUUACGGGGUGUAAGGGGCGAGUAGGCGGGGACGCAAGUCAGAUGUGAAAACCACGGGGUCAACCUGUUGCCUGCAUUUGAAACUGCGUUUCUUGAGUACUGGAGAGGCAGACGGAAUUCCUGGUGUAGCGGUGAAAUGCGUAGAUAUUAGGAGGAACACCAGUGGCGAAGGCGGUCUGCUGGACAGCAACUGACGCUGAGGCGCGAAAGCGUGGGGAGCAAACAGGAUUAGAUACCCUUGUAGUC
This 443-nucleotide ribosomal RNA is filed under the name uncultured bacterium. RNAcentral's name for it is "partial 16S ribosomal RNA". It matches the Rfam family "Bacterial small subunit ribosomal RNA", at positions 338 to 795 of the family's 1533-position model. The record is from RNAcentral.